Molecule: transfer RNA, 65 nt
Filed under: Schoutedenia ralumensis
Lineage: Eukaryota; Metazoa; Arthropoda; Insecta; Hemiptera; Aphididae
Description: tRNA-Cys
Source: RNAcentral
AAUCUUAUAUUCAAAUAUGAUAUUAAAUUGCAAAUUUAAAGGUAUUAAUAUAAUUAUUAAGGUUU